AAACAGGAACUGGUCAGCGUACAGUGGAUCUGCGAGUUAUUGUAAUACCAGCUGAAUGUUUCUUUGCCGUGUGCUGGCUCACUUUACAGAUUUCUGCUUUCUGGAAGAAGAACAGAAACGGAUUAAGAAAGGAUAUAAAGAGCCUGCGAGAAUGUCGUGGAUGUAAACAGAAACAGAAGGACUUAAACUCACAUCAACCUGAUAAUGAACAUGAACUCCAGAAUCUACAGAAUACUGUACCUGAGCUCUCAGGGUCUUAGCAGGUAAGAUACUUCUUACAUGCUUUCAUUCUACACUAAUUAUUUAAUGUCUAUACAGUACAAAGUGCUAAAAUUUACACAACUGUUACCUAUACAACAGUAAACCUGCUCUCCAGUUGAUUUAUUUAGACUCAGGAUGUUCAGCUGUAUACAGUCCCUUAAUGCACUAAUAAUAAAGUUAAUAAAGUAAUAGUUCAUUCAUCGUAUUACAUUUAGCAGCAUGUAUUUACCUGUUAAUCUGUACGCAAAAAAGUUCCAUUCUGAAGCAGAUCUACAUUUAUGCAUAAAAUCCACAAAGCCAGAAGAUGACAAAGUACAUUUACCUUUCGUUCUUGAUCUUCUGACUUUCUGGAGUUAUUUUUUUCAUCAGAGUGACUGAAAUCCCCACAGCACCCUCUAGUGUGAGGUGAUUAGACUGCGCAACCAUGAGCACAAAAAGGUCUCGCGUCUUUAAAAAAAAAUAAGUUAAUGAGAAAGAACUUCUUUAAUGUGUAAAACAAACCCAAACCAUCAUGCUUCCACCAUCAUGCUUCCACCACCAUGCUUCACAGUUGGGCUAAUGUGUCAUUCUGGUGCCUGAAGGUCAAAUUUGGGGUUUUUUUUAACUCUGGGCAUUAAAUGGUCUGACCUUGGACUGUUUAUGCUGAGACUCUUAUUCCAAUCCACAAACCUUCUUAAUGUAAUAUGAUAGAUUUCAGCUAGUGUGGAGACGGCCUUAUAACCCUUCCUGAUCAAUCUCUUCAGAUCACUUCUCUGAGGUUGUGGUUGGUUUCAUGUUUUUUUGGCAUAAUGUAGAAACAUUAUGAGUGUUUCAGAAAAACAAACUGCCAGAGUCUGCUUUUAUAAACAUACUUACACUUUCUGAUCAUAAACAACCCACAACAUGGAUUGUUUAAAAAGUGUUUGUAAUGUGAUAUAUGUAAUGUGUGCGUGUGUUUGUGCACCUUAUGUGAAUUUCUCCAAUUUGCUUCUCCUGUGGAAUAUUAUGACUGAAUUUAAUGAAAUGUUUUUAAAUGCAUUUCAUAUUUUUCAUACAGAGAAUUUUCAUACUAUUAGAAAACCUUAUAUAAAGAUCCAGGGAGAACAAAGUUGUCUAUUUAAUUAGAGUUUAGUUUUAUAUACAGUGUACACAUGUAAACAGAAUAUUUUCACUCAAUAGUGAAUCUAAAUAUAUUUUUCUGUAACUGUGUUGAGAAUAAAUAUAAUUCUGUAUGAGAUCAGAAAAGUUUAUUUAUUGUUUUUUUUUUGGUUCUUUUGCAUUUAAAGACUUGCAGGUGAGAGGAAACUCUGCCUGCUGCAUGUUUACAACAUUGUGAAAGAUCUGACUGUACAUGUGUAUGAUUGUGUUGUACGUUGUCUGUUUUUGCCUUUUUAUUGUUCUAAUUUAUUAAGUACUGCGUUUGUAUUAUAUUCAGUCUGCAUGUAACUGCAGAGCUUCAAACUUUACUACAGUAUUAAUGUCAAGAAGCUAUUAAUAUAUUGUGUGUUGGACAAAAUAAAUAAAAUCCAUUCUUUCUUCAUUGAUUAUAUUUAUUGCAGAUGUUUUUAAGCAACACCUCUAACAUUCUGAAGUGAGCAUUAGAUUUGACACAGAACACAAUCUUCUAUAAAGAAUUAACUACAUACGUCACUGACGACUCUGAAACGAUCUCACAUCCAAAACUGAGCCUCUUCCUACAUAAAUUAACACAAAAUAGCAAACUGAUAGC
Molecule: long non-coding RNA, 1969 nt
Organism: Silurus meridionalis
Lineage: Eukaryota; Metazoa; Chordata; Actinopteri; Siluriformes; Siluridae
Exons: 4
Source: RefSeq, a predicted model, not a curated record